This 402-nucleotide long non-coding RNA is filed under the name Phoenix dactylifera (date palm). RNAcentral's name for it is "long non-coding RNA (PDAC_LNC008777)". The record is from RNAcentral. Lineage: Eukaryota; Viridiplantae; Streptophyta; Magnoliopsida; Arecales; Arecaceae.
UCCAUGAAAGGCUGAUCUCCUCACUAGGGCUGGAUGCAGCCCUAACAAAGGGACACGGGUUUUAUAUUUUAUUUUAUAUCCUUGGGGUUGUAUGAACUUAUUGUUUUUAAUGGAUAUCUUCUUUUGAAUCAUAUUUAAUUUCUGUGAUUUUAAGUAUGAUGUUCGUACAACUGUUUUUCAUGAUCACUGAGUAAAUAUAAGAUAGUCCAUGCUUAAGAAAGAUGUAGUGUGCUACCACCUUAGAUUAGGGUAGACAUUUCAUGCCAACUGAAGAUGGAUUAUGCCUAAAUUACUUUUGUGAAUUUCUAUUCAAAUGCUUAUUAGGCUUGUAGCCAAUUUGCAUGUUAAUCCAAGAACGAAAUAAAUUAUAAAUAACCCUUGUUCCGAUGUUAGUGGUGAAUU